This 2785-nucleotide long non-coding RNA is filed under the name Marmota monax (woodchuck). The record is from RNAcentral. Lineage: Eukaryota; Metazoa; Chordata; Mammalia; Rodentia; Sciuridae.
AAGCUUUUGUGUAUGCAAAUAAGCUCGCGGUGCCUGUCGGCGCUCCCGCCUCUCCACCAGGGUCGGGGUGGACCCUGGAGUCGCUGAGGUCUUUCUGUGGGGCGCCAUUUUGUGCAGGAAGUGACCUGGCACACGUCUGCGUUGAGAAGGCCCAAGUAGCCCGAAGGCUUGGACCGCUGGCCCCGCGCUGUGUGACCUCGUCCUGCCCAGCUCCGUUUCCUUACGUGGCCAGUGGGAUCUGGGAUCCCUAGGGAUGGCAGCGAAGGGCGGAGAGCCCAGGGCCUUCUCUGGAACUCGCUGUGCCUCCUGGGAAGCACAGCUGCGGCCUCCUGUCAGUCAGGUGGACGAGGCCCGGGCUCCAGGGCUGGCCUUCCGGAGGUGCAGGGGGAGCUGCCCACCUCGGGCAUCUGUGCAGGUCUGCACAUCCUCGCACCCUGGGGCACCCACAGCAGUCCCUAGUUUGCUGGCCUUCCCAGCCAUGGGCAGGGCCAGCAAUAUUCGGGCCUAGCCUGGCCACCAGCUUUGCCUCAGGGGCAGUCUUCCUGGAAAAGGAAGGAGGGACGUUUAAGAGAGACCUGCGGCAGAGCAGCAACCUGUGACCAUUUCGUGGAGAACUGGCCACACGUGGGCAUCUCACACGCCUGAUCACCCGGUUUAGUCAGCUGGGUGCAUGAUUCCUCCCCAUUUAACAGGCAAGGAAACUGAGGGAGUUGGAGGCCACCCCCAACCUGGGACCAGGUGGAGCUAGUGGUCAUCCUGGUGACACUAAAGGUUAAUAUUAUGUGGGUGCUGUGUGCCAGGCACCCUUCUAAUUUCUUCAUACACUUGGUCUCUUGAAUCUUGGCAGGUGGAUUUCAUGAUUAUCUCUGGAGGCCUGCAUUCAUUCACCUGCCAUGUGUCUGCAAGAAGCCGAAGGGACCCAGCAGAAAGUAAAAGGGACAAGACCUGGGCUAUCAUGGGCGAGCCAGACAGUGAGACGUAGGUCCUCAGGUGUCAUGGCAGUGAAUGAUGAAGACUAGGACCGUAGGUCAGAGUGGGGUUAGGGUUAGGGUUAGGGUUAGGGUUAGGUCUUGCCUUGGCUGUGCAGGGAAGGGCUCCCUGAGGAAUGACCUUCAGGGCUGUGGGGAGGUAUAUAGGAGAAGCAUUUUGAACUCAGGACCUGCCGUGCAAAGGCCUGGUGAGGGGGAUCUUGCUGAGUGCUUGGGGAACCAGCAGAAGGCCAUCAAGGCUGGGCAGGAGUGAUCAUGGGUUCUUGCCCAGGCUUGAGGUCAGGGGAAGAAGUUGAUUUAUCCUGCAGGGCCUCCUGGGCCAUGGUGUCUGUUUUGUUUCUUCUUGGAGCAUUGGAGCCACUGGGGAGCGCGACAUGCCUCCAUCUCCCUUGUGGGCAGAAACAAGGAGGCCAGUAAGCAUGUGUGAUGGUCCAGGUGGAGAUGGUGGCUCCAGUAGGACUGGUGGCAGUGGGAUGGGAAAAGGAAUGGGACUCCACAGGGAAUGCCAACAGGAACUGGUGUCGAUUUGACGUGGGAUGAGGGAGAGGGAAACGGUCACCUGCACCCUGAAUCUUCAUCAUAAAUUUGGACUGGUGACCUUCCCUGUAAAGGUUCUUGGACCUUGUGACCCUUUGGGCUUGGUGCCAGCCUACUCACCUCUGCCAUCACAGCUCUAGACAGUGGAUGGGUGUGGCUGUGUGCCUACAAAGCUGUUUCUGAGAACAAGUGGCAGGCAUAGGUGGCCCUCAGGCUGUGUUUUCCCCGCCCAGCUUUAAACCACAAAGCUGGGGUGCCCCACUCCUGAUUAAAAAAAAAAAACAAAAAAAACCUCAAGGGCCCUCCUCUCCACUAUGUGUUGGAUACCCCAAUCCUGCAGGGCCUAUGAGCUCUUUUGCAUGAGGCACUGGGUUCGAUCCUCAGCACCACAUAAAAACAAAACAAAGAUAUUGUGUCCACCUAAACUAAAAAGUUUUUUAAAAAAGAAUUGCAGUUAUUUACUUGUUUCCCUCAACUAGAAGAUCAGUGCCAGGGGAGCAGGGUUCUUGGUAGGGCCUCCACCCCUAGCAGAAUGCUGGACAAAUUGAAAGCGUUGACCCAUUCGGUGAGUGUUUAUUGAGCACCUGCUGUGUGUCAGGCACCAAUCUGGAUGCAGACGAGGAUGCUAUGGGCUUGUUGGAGUGAGGGAAGACACACGCAAAGGCAGAACAAGGAGUGCAGACAGGGUCACUCGCCACAUAGCACCAUCGUGGUCAGUAAUGGACUGUGUACUUAUGGUGGUGGUUCCUCAAGAUUGGAUUGGAACUAAAGAAACCUAUGGCCUAGUGUUUUUACUUCACAUUGUAUAUGUUUAGAUACACAGACACCACGGUUAUAGUUGCCUGCCGUACUUAGUGUGGUCAUGUGCUGCGUGGCUGCAGCUGUGGAGGGUAGGCCUACCUCAUGUCCUAGGUAUGCAGGGGCCUGCCCAUCUUACAUCCUACGUCAUUAUGUAAGUAAAGGCAGAGUGUUUGCCAAAUGACACUGAUCUCAGAUCUUGUUCGGUGACUCGUGACUGAAUGUGGUUGAGAAGGCAGUGUCAUGGAAAUGACGAGUAGAGUAGGGGAAAAGGGCCUGGGGUGCCAGGCUGCGUGGUGGUGAAUUGAAAGUGGGGAGGUCAGGGCAGGCCUCCUGAACAGGUGUCAACGGGACCCAAGUUUGAAGGAGUUGAGCUAUACAGGUAUCAGAGGAAGGACAUUCCCAUCAGUGGGAACACAGGUCUCGCGUACCUCAGGAGCUUCCCAGAGGCAGGUGGGCUG